Molecule: long non-coding RNA, 243 nt
Organism: Lineus longissimus
Lineage: Eukaryota; Metazoa; Nemertea; Pilidiophora; Heteronemertea; Lineidae
Exons: 4
Source: RefSeq, a predicted model, not a curated record
UCAAAGGGAAGCUCCGCUACAGCUGCCUGAAAGGCCGCAAGGCUGACAAGACAUGGUGUGCUAACACCUUUGAUUACGAUAAGGAUAAGAAGUGGCAGUUCUGUAGCGAGAAGACCUGUAUCCUGUGCAAAUUUCGAUGCCCAAAGGGGACGAAACGCGUCAACAGUGCAUGCGUCAAGGUAUCACCCCCCUGUGGCCCGAACGCGAAAAAAGUUGAAAACCAAUGCGUACCAAUAUACAAAU